AUUGAACGCUGGCGGCAUGCCUUACACAUGCAAGUCGAACGGUAACAGGUUAAGCUGACGAGUGGCGAACGGGUGAGUAAUGUAUCGGAACGUGCCCAGUUGUGGGGGAUAGCUGCUCGAAAGAGCAGCUAAUACCGCAUACGACCUGAGGGUGAAAGCGGGGGAUCGCAAGACCUCGCGCAAUUGGAGCGGCCGAUAUCAGAUUAGGUAGUUGGUGGGGUAAAGGCUCACCAAGCCGACGAUCUGUAGCUGGUCUGAGAGGACGACCAGCCACACUGGGACUGAGACACGGCCCAGACUCCUACGGGAGGCAGCAGUGGGGAAUUUUGGACAUUGGGCGCAAGCCUGAUCCAGCCAUGCCGCGUGCGGGAAGAAGGCCUUCGGGUUGUAAACCGCUUUUGUCAGGGAAGAAACGCUCUGGGUUAAUACCCUGGGGUAAUGACGGUACCUGAAGAAUAAGCACUGGCUAACUACGUGCCAGCCGCCGCAGUAA
This 493-nucleotide ribosomal RNA is filed under the name uncultured bacterium. RNAcentral describes it as "partial 16S ribosomal RNA". It matches the Rfam family "Bacterial small subunit ribosomal RNA", at positions 30 to 523 of the family's 1533-position model. The record is from RNAcentral.